RNAcentral lists this ribosomal RNA (460 nucleotides) under uncultured bacterium. RNAcentral's name for it is "partial 16S ribosomal RNA". It matches the Rfam family "Bacterial small subunit ribosomal RNA", at positions 338 to 795 of the family's 1533-position model. The record is from RNAcentral.
CCUACGGGAGGCAGCAGUGAGGAAUAUUGGUCAAUGGGCGCGAGCCUGAACCAGCCAAGUAGCGUGAAGGAUGACUGCCCUACGGGUUGUAAACUUCUUUUAUCAAGGAAUAAAGUGAGGCACGUGUGCCUUUUUGUAUGUUCUUUAUGAAUAAGGCUCGGCUAACUCCCUGCCCGCCGCCGGGGUAAUACGGAGGGUCCGAGCGUUAUCCGGAUUUAUUGGGGUUAAAGGGAGCGUAGAUGGGUUGUGAAGUUCGUUGUGAAAGUUUGCGGCUUAACCGUAAAAUUGCAAUUGAUACUGGCAGUCUUGAGUACAGUUGAGGUAGGCGGAAUGCGUGGUGUAGCGGUGAAAUGCUUAGAUAUCACGAAGAACUCCGAUUGCGAAGGCAGCUUACUAAACUGCCACUGACAUUGAUGCUCGAAAGUGUGGGUAUCAAACAGGAUUAGAUACCCGAGUAGUC